This 462-nucleotide ribosomal RNA is filed under the name uncultured bacterium. Its description in RNAcentral is "bacterial SSU rRNA". It matches the Rfam family "Bacterial small subunit ribosomal RNA", at positions 917 to 1382 of the family's 1533-position model. The record is from RNAcentral.
GGGCCCGCACAAGCAGUGGAUUAUGUGGUUUAAUUCGAAGCAACGCGAAGAACCUUACCAGGGUUUGACAUCCAACUAACGAAGCAGAGAUGCAUUAGGUGCCCUUCGGGGAAAGUUGAGACAGGUGGUGCAUGGUUGUCGUCAGCUCGUGUCGUGAGAUGUUGGGUUAAGUCCCGCAACGAGCGCAACCCUUAUUGCUAGUUGCUACGCAAGAGCACUCUAGCGAGACUGCCGUUGACAAAACGGAGGAAGGUGGGGACGACGUCAAAUCAUCAUGCCCCUUAUAUCCUGGGCUACACACGUAAUACAAUGGUCGCAAACAGAGGGAAGCUAAGCCGCGAGGUGGAGCGAAUCCCUAAAAGCGGUCUCAGUUCGGAUUGCAGGCUGCAACUCGCCUGUAUGAAGUCGGAAUUGCUAGUAAUCGCGGAUCAGCAUGCCGCGGUGAAUACGUUCCCGGGCCUU